Molecule: long non-coding RNA, 15578 nt
Filed under: Trifolium pratense (red clover)
Lineage: Eukaryota; Viridiplantae; Streptophyta; Magnoliopsida; Fabales; Fabaceae
Description: long non-coding RNA (TPRA_LNC000555)
Source: RNAcentral
AGGAUUUACCAUAGACAGUGUUGGUCGGGUUGCAAACAGCCAUAUUGAAAGCAGAAUCACCAAUCAUCCUUUGAGAGUCAGUGAAGGCAACAUAAGAAGGUGUUAUUCUGUUCCCUUGAUCAUUCACUAUAAUCUCUACCUUAUCAUUCAUACACACUGCAACACAUGAAUAAGUUGUGCCAAGGUCAAUUCCUAUUGCCACUUUUUUACCAUUUUCAGACAUUUCAGAUCUCUUGCAAUAUUCACUCAGUUCAACCAAAUUUUGUGAAGGAAUAGAAAUACUAAAGAUGAGAAUAAACAGACACUCCAUUAAAUCCAUUUCAUAUAUCUCAUUUAGUUUGACUCAGUCGUGUUAGGGUGCUUGCCUAGUUGACUUAAUAUAGUCUCUCCGUCUCAAAAUAAAUGACCUAGUUGAUUACUGUCAUGUUUGUCAAUGUACGACUUUAGUCGUCAAUAUCUUAAAUUAUAUUUUAUUAAAAAUUAUAAAAAUUAUAUAUUUUAAAAAUAAUCAUCGAGACAAAUUAAACAAUAUCUCAUAUAGUAAUAUUUACAUUUAUAUAAUAGUAGAAAAAUAUGGUCAAAGUAGAUCAUAUAAAUAGUACAUAAAGUCAAAAAUAAGUUAUUUAUUUUGGGACGGAAUAUUUCAUACUCUUUUGGAUCAACUUGCAUGAUUAUAAUAUUAUAAUAUUAGUCCCAUCACUUUCAUAAACAGCUGGUUGAACACUAGGACCGUGUAUUCUAGUGUCGGGCAGGGGCAACCACGCAUUCUAAGUUUCGAUCAAAAUUAAAAGAUUUAAAUUUAAGUUGAAUAUUUUAAAUUGUAAAAUAAAAAUCAUCUUUUUAUUAAUGGUCAGAUCUUGAUCCAAAGGUGUCCAAUUCCUUGAAUGUGUGGCUUUGUCCAUGGUUGUGAAUCCAAUUUCGUGGAGCUAGCUCCGAUAUAGGACCGGUUGUUUCAAAAAAAAAAAACUAUUUUUUAUCUUACUUGUGUUUGUUUUAUAUUUUUUCAAAAAUUAUUUUAGUAAAACAAUCAUUUUUUUAUCAAAAUUCAUCUAUUUUCAAUAGUUUUUAUCAAAAUCCAUUUUUUUUAUCAUUCACCAUCUCUCAUCAUCUUAAAAAAAUGACUUGUAUACCCUUUAAUGACAUAUUUUGAUUCUAAUAUUAUGAGAAACGAGAACUAUUAAUAAUAACCGUAAGAUUUAAUUAUUAAAAGCAAGAACUAAUAUUAGAUAAUGACUUGUAUUAGAUAAUGACAAAAAAGACUUUAAGUGAGUCAUUAUCUCUCACCAUCCAAGAAAAGUAAAAGCAAGAGAAAAAGACAAAAAAUGAUUGGGCGAGAAAAAGUUGAUGACUCGGUGAAUUAAGAGAGAAGAGAGAAAUACUUGCUUAGACACAAACAUUUAAACACAAGAUUAAGUACACAUUCAUCAAUUAAAAAAAUUAAAAGAAAAAUAAAAUUAUCACAUCAAGUCAUAUCACUUUAACUAUUUUUUCUUUAUUUUCUUUUGUUUUUUGUGAGUGUGCCCAACAAAUAAUAUUUGGGUUUGUUCCCAAGCAAGUGUUUCUCGAGAGAAGAAGGGUAAAGUUAAGAGAGAAAGUGUGUGAAAAUUUAGGAGUUGAAAUAGCAAAAAGUUGAAAAAUAAGAAGAUAAAUUUGUGGUGAGUGGAUAGUAGAGCUAGUCAUGACUCAUGGGGGCUUAAUAACAAUAUUAAUAUAUGUAUUAAAGCAAAACUAUUAUUUUUGGUGGAGGCUUGAGCUCCCAAUGUGUUGUACCUGUAUCCGUCGUUGGCUGAGAGAGACUACAAUUAAUUUGCCAACCAAGAAAAAUGAAGGAAAAACUAGUUUCAAUUGAAAAUUUUAAUUGUGUGGGGGUGAGUGAUUUUGACCUUAUCAAGUUGUAAUUUGUAAAUAGUGUUUUUGCAAGUGGCGCUUGUCUCGUUGACAUUAGGCAGAUGCUCAUGUGAAGAGAUUCUACCGUACCCUUCUUGUUAUUGUUUAAUGGAAAUAUAAUUAGUUUAACUUUAUUCUGCUGAGCAUGGUUACUAGGCUACGUACUUGGUUGGAAAUUAAUCUUCAUCUAAGAGAGUCUUAUAAACUAUUAAUUUGUAUAUCAUUUUGUUAUCAUUGAAACAACCAUGAUAUGACACGGUGAAUAUAUAUAAAAUGAUCCAAGUAUUUUAUUUAAGGUAUUGUAUCAUCAAUUUAAUAUUGAGUUUUUUUUUUUUAAAAAAAAAAUAAUAUUAACAUAUAUGAGUUGCAUAAUUUUAUAUAUUAUAAGAGCAAAAUAUAUAUCUAUUGUAAAAAUAUUACAUAACAUUGUACGGAUUACUUACGAAUGAAACUCAAAGUAUUACUAGACACUCAUAUAUAUAGGAUAAGAUUGUUUCAUGUAAAUAUCACUAGAGGGCAUCCAAGCCCUGUAAAUAUUGAUUUUUUAUUUUUUUUUAUGAUUGAAGCCGUGAAAAAAACAAAAUGGAUUGUUUGAAUUUAAUGGGCAAAAAAUAUGACGAGAGAAGGUCCCCUUUUACAAUUAUUAUUAUUAUUAUCUUUCAAAAAUAUAAAAUUUACAACUAGGGACGGAACCAGAAAUAAUUAUUGAGGGUGGCGAAUUUUUUUUUCUUUGAUAAAACUCUUCUACAAUUUCUUCAAUAGUAAAUGUUUUUGCAAAUACAUCUAUACUAUCUCUUUCGUUAGUAAUUUUAUAGAUUAAUAACAUGACCAACAAAAAAUAUAUUUGAGAACUAAGUUGAUUAUUAUUUAAAAAAGAUUUGACGAUGACUAAAAUAAUUAAUAAAAGAGACAUUUUUUAACAUUUUUACAAUUUCAAUACAUUUAAAAAUCAAUGUCAUUGGUCCACAAAUCCUAGCUCAACUGACAGAAAUGCUUAAAUUACUAUUGUCGGACAUCGGGACAACCCCAGUUACUUCACUGUGUGUGUGUGAGUUUUCAAAGACUUUGUCAUUUCGUCUAUCAAAAAAAAAAUGUCAUUGUGAAUUACUAUAUUUUAAGACUAAAAUAGUGGUUUAUCUAAAUAUACAAAAUAUAAAUAGUAGUACAUUAUAGUAGUUAUUAAUUUAUUAUAUGAUAAAAAGGUAUAUGAUGCAAGUAUUUACAUAGAGCCAUAUGGUGGGUGGCGAACCAUAUACAUACAUAGGAGGUACGUGUAUUCCUACCAAUUAAAGAGUAGCGGUCGCCCCUUUUAGUCUAUACGUAGUUCCGUCCCUGUUUACAACUAAGAUAUUGAGCUCAAUUAGUUAUUAAAUUUCACCAAAGUAUAGAUUAUUUGAAAGAACUUAAAGAUUCAAUUUUUAAGUAGAACCACUAUUUAUUUUCAAAAAAAAAGAAGUAGAACCACUAUUUUUGUCGAAUUUUCAUACCUUGUAGUCGAAUAUAUAUGAAUUAUUAAGAUCUCUUUCCCUACAAAUCUGAGAAUUAAUAUAUAAAAAAUUGAGCUAAUCUCUUUAGGCUGGUAGCUGAGUUUAUUAUGAAAUCUCAAGUUGUUCAGAAAACAAAUAUUUUAAAGAAUAGAAAAUAUCAUUUUACUACAUAUGGUCAAUAGUCAAGGACCUUCUAACACACAAAGACACUCAAGUAUCGUUUGGCCCAAUUUAUUUAGGACUUAUUUUUUAUUUUAAGGAGAAGUCAUACCAAACACAAUUUAAGAGAAGUUCUAUUAAAAUAUAAGUACUUUAUUUCAGGCACAGAUUUAGUAUGGGGGCAAUGGCGUCAGCCGACCCAACUUGCCUAUUAUAUUUUUGGUUAAUACUAUUAUUAUUCAUGCAAUGUGACCUCACAUAUAUGAUAUUAUCGUUUUUAUAUAGUCAAUUUAGUACACUACAAUAAAUAUAAAUUAAUAAGACUAAUUUAUAAUGUUAAUGAGUAUCUUAAAAACAUCGACUAAGAAACCAAAAUAAGUAAUUUUGUAUAAAAAAUAUUAUAAAGGUUCCGUUGACACCAGGUGUCAAACUUUAAUUUGACAUCAAAUCUUGUCCAUUUAUUUUUAUUGAUCUAAAGGUUCAUAUUUAUUUACUUAAAAUUUCACAUGAUCAUUACUUUCCCAAAUCAUAGCAAAUUAGUUACUCUCUUUUAUCAUCUCCUUCUAAGGAGAAUAAUUGUUCUUUUUUUUUUUUUUUCNNNNNNNNNNNNNNNNNNNNNNNNNNNNNNNNNNNNNNNNNNNNNNNNNNNNNNNNNNGAGUAAUUGUUCUUAAUUGAAAAUGGUCGUGGUUUGGGAGUUAUAAGGAUAGCUUGGUGGCUAAGGUAAAUGAGAGGGAGUGAAGUGAUAAGAAUGUUCUUAAAUUAGUACAAUGUUUACAAACAAUGAAAUUGUACUUUUUCUUAAAUAAAAUAAUUAGUGAUAAGAUGUUGAUAUAUUUUUUUUAAGAUAAAGUCUUCUACUCCUAACACUACAAAAAAUAAGCAUUUUGCGACAAUUCUAUUGCGACCACUUAAAUAUGUGAAUUUCUUAAGACAUUUGCAACAAUUCAUACGACGGUUACUACAACCAUCGCAAUGUUUUGUUCUUAAAUUUCACUUUACCGCCUUGUGAAAUCAUAUUUAAUUGAUUUAAUUAAAAAUAAUAAUAAAACAGGAAAAAUGCCAAAAAUUCGAGUAGCAAGGAUCAAAUCGACUACCUCUUACAACAUGAGUGUCUCAUUAGUCACUCGUCUACUUAUUCUAUCUUGCUAUUUUACGCUCCAACUAAUAUAUAUUUAUAUAGUAUAACUAGUAAUUUUAUUAAGACACCUUGGGUAUAAUAGUAAUUUCCUUUUUAUUUGGGGUGGGUCAUGGUCCAGCCAUGGCACCCCUAGCUCCGCUACUGGAUACAAUGGCCAUUUUACACUUCAACUUUCUCUCAAUGGUUAAUGCAUCCCUUACUUAAGUAUACGUUAAUUUCUUACUUAGGAUUCGUUAUACCAAUUUCGAUCAUUACACUAAUUAUUAGUCUUUUUUCAAAGUGUGUUUAGUAGUAGCAUAUUUCUUUAUGAUCUUGAGCACUUGAACAUACUUUAGGUUCCCCAAUUGUUUUCUUAUAUAUUGUUUUCAUCAAAACUUCAGAGUAAUUGUUCAUAAACCACUUUUGGUUUAACACUAUAUUUAACUAUUAUAAAGAAAUUUCAAAAAAAAAAAACUAUUAUAAAGAAAUAAAGAAAUCAAUUUCCAUACAUAUGUAAUAUAAUUACAGUAAAAAAAUAAUAUAAUAAAUAAAUAAAAAAAGAUUAUCAGAAUAAAAAAAUUAAAAAUAAUUGUUACUUUAACAAAUUAAUUUAUUUACAAAAUUAUGAUUUUAUUGACAAGAAAAAAAUUAUGCUUUCCUUUUUAAAUUAUACUUUCUUUUAUCCUUUUUAUAAGAGAUCAACAAUUUACUUUUCUGAAUUCAUUAAAUAAAUAAUGAAUUUGGUCAAUAUUAUAGACCAAAUACAUUAUUUAUUAAAUAAAUCUUGGAACGUAAACUGUAUCUUUUAAAAAAGACCGCAUGGAGUAAUAUUUUUUAAUUAACAUAAAUAAUAUAUUUUUAAAGUGUUCGUAAUUUCAAUUUCUUGCGUAGUGUUCUUCUCGAUAGAGAAAUAGAUGACUCCGACGAUGAGAAUUGAAACAGUUACGAUGGAGAUACUAUUCCGGUGCGGUGGAUCACGAUGGAGAAAGUACCAAUAACUACGUUAGCCAUCCAAUGGCCAAGUCAGUAUGUGAUCAAGGCGGAGUGAAAGUGAAAAGUGAUUGAGUUGUGUUCCAUGGCGUCAAAACUUGCCUUUAUAUAAGGGGAUUUAAAAAAAGAGAGUCACGUGCGUGCUAAGCCACGUCCCAAUAUGAACGAGAAUAUACACACAAAAUUCAUAGAGGAUCUUAUAUUUAGCAAACUUUUUUUUUUUGGUAAAACGGUCUUAUAAACAGGAAUGGAGGGAGUAUUAAAAUUGGCAAAAGAACGUCACUUUUUUACAUUGAAUUAUAUACCUAAUAAACCAUGAAAAAUCCGAUUUGACGAAAAAGGGAAUCACGCGCGUGCUAAGCCACGUACCAAUAAGCGUGAGGAUAUACACACAAUAUUUGGCUAUAAAUUACCCCUCCACACCUUAUUUCAAUGUGUCAUUUCUUAAUCUAAAGUCACAAACACAUCCUCCACCCUUUAGUUCUUCCUUUUCUCUUUCUGUAAUUUAGUCAUGUCAAACAGUAGGAGAAGUUUAGGUCGCCAAAAGAUUGAGAUGAAAACGAUGAGUAAUGUGAGCAACCUGCAAGUGACAUUCUCGAAGCGCCGUAGCGGGCUCUUCGAGAAAGCUUGUAUGAUUUGUACUCUUUGUGAUGUAGAUGUUGCUCUCAUUGUAUUUUAACCUGUUGAGAAAGUGUUUUACUUUGACCACCCAAAUGUCGAUUUGGUCAUAGAUCUUUAUCUCUCGUGGGUCUUGCUUCAAAACAAUGGCACGAUGUCAUUCAUUGAGNNNNNNNNNNNNNNNNNNNNNNNNNNNNNNNNNNNNNNNACAAAAUACAACCAGAGCAACAACUGCACCAUAAAGAGUGAAAAGCUCAUUAGAAGUGCCCGAUACGACACUUCGAGAAAGUUACUUGCAGGUUGCUCUCAUUGUUCAUCUUUUUCAUCUCAAUCUUUUUGUGACCUAGAUUUUUCAUGCUGUUUGACAUGGCUGAAACACAAAAAGAGAGAAGGGAGAACUUAAGGGUGGAUGUGUUUGCGACUUUAGAGUAAGAAAUGACGCAUUGAAAUGAGAUGUGAGGAUAAUUUUAAUGUCAAAUUUUGUGUAUCUUCUCACUCAUAUUGGGAUGUGGCAUAACACGUAUGUGAAUCUCUUUUUCAUCAAAUUUGAUUUUUCAUGGUUUGUAUGGUAUGUAAUUCAAUGUAAAAAAGUGGCACUCUUUUCUUUUGCCAAUUUGUAUAUCCAUGUUAUUACUAAUAAAAAAAUCAUUUUUACUUUUAUAUGGUAAACUCAUUUUAUUAUUUUAUACGAUAAUUUCUCCUCAACUCAUUCAUUAUGGUCAAUUCCUAAAAUAAAGGUGAAAAACAUAAAAAUUAAAAGGCUUAAUUGCACAUUUGGUCCCUUAUCUUUAUUUUAGGUUUUAAGUUGGUCUCUUAUUUUUUAAAAGUUUCAAAUUGGUCCCUUAUCUUUUCUUUUGUUUAAUAAGUUAGUUCCUCCCAUCAUAUUUUUUACUAACGCCGUUAGAUGUGGACAUGUGGCAAACGGUGAUGCACACUUGGACAAACACGUGGAUUUUUUUGCCAUAUCAUUUGCCACAUCAUUUUCUUUUAAUUUUUAAAUUAAAAAUAAAUAAAAAACAAAACUAUUUUUUUUUAUUAAAACUAAAUCUUUUUUAUAAUAUUGCACCUUCGCAAUUUUCCCCUAUUUUCUCGCGGCUCUAGCUCGAGUAACAACCGUUUUCUCAACCUCAUUCUUUCUCUUCUCUUCUUAGUUUCCGAUUGAUUCGGCGACGUUGGAGCAAACCAGGGCCGGCCCAACAUAAUGUGGGGCAUGAAGCGGUCAUUAAUAUGAGGCCUAACAUAAAAAUGUAUAUUUUUUAAGCAAAAAAAUAUUGUACGAAAGAAAAACGUAAAAUUUAUAUUUAAAAAUAAAUAAAUAAACAAUUUUUGGUAAGAAAGUUAAAAAUAUAUCAAUUAUAUUUAUAAUAAAAAUAAAAUACAUAUUAGAAAAUACUUUUAUAAUAUGAACAAAAUAAAAAAUAUUAUUUUUAUAUUGCAUAAAAAAUAUUGUUUUUAUUGCAUAAUUAAUAUUUUUUUGAAAAAACCAAAAUGAGAUAUAUUAACAAAAAAGCCUACUCAGCACAAGACGUGCCAAGAUAGACCAGAGUUUACAAAAAAUCACAAAAAGAAAUACAAACAAUCAUACAAGGCCCAAAUAUAGUAAAAGACUAGACCACCAACUAUGGUAGUUUAAGAUUAAGGUAACACUUGUCGUCUUCAACCACUUAUAAGAAAAAAGCUUGAUCUUGUCCAACAACUGAUGAAGAGUACUGUCUGAGCCUCUGAACAACCUGUGAUUUCUUUCUGUCAACACAACCCAUAUGCUAGCAACUUAUUUGUUUAAUUCAUUUUAAUUUAUUUAUUUCAUUUUCAUAAUUUUUUGAUUAUUUAAGUUUAUCUAUAUUUCAUAUUCAAUAUUUAGGCUGUAUGUAAUUAAAUUUAAAUAAAAUAUUAAAAAAAUUGUUAAGAAUAAAUUGGUACAAAAAAUAAAAUAAAACUAAAAGUAGUAGUUAUAUUUUGUAUUUUCAUUUUAUAUUAUGGUAUAGACCAAUAACUUUUGUAAUUUGUUUGAAUUUGAAUAAAUAAUGUUCUCUUUGUUUUUUUAAGCAUAAAUAAAUAAUAUUCUCUAAACAAUUAGAACAUUACUUACCAAACAAAAAAUAUAUUAGAACAUUAUCUAUAACAAUAUAUAAAAAGGAUAGGUGAAUUUGGACUGGAUUUUUUAUAUUGUUCAAAUUACCCUUCAUUUUAAAUUCAAAUAAUUCAAUGGUUCUUUCUUAUUAAGGUCUUCCAACCAGGCGCGGAAAAAAACUGACUUUGGCAAGGAUCGAACACAGAUCCUGCCAAUAUCAAAAUGAUGCAUUCAAACAAAUGGACUACAUGGAUUGUAGUGAUUUGUAACGGAGGCUUACAUAUAUAAAUUUGUUUUUGGGCCUAAACCCUACAUUAAAAAAUAUAAAAAAAUUUGGGGCCUAAAGCUAGGGCUUGGGCCGCUUUACCUUUUGGCCGGUCCUGGAGCAAACAAAACCUUAACUGGAAAUUUUUUUUUUACCCCAACAAUCUUCAUUCUAUCCCAACAUAUUUUUCAAAAUACUCAUUAUACCCUUAUAAAAAAUUAGUAUAUUUUAAUAUUUUUUAAUUUUGUCGUAUUAUAUUGUUCCGGUAGACUGUUCAUCCUCCCAAAAAACUGUUCCGGUAAGUAUUUAUCUUUACCGGUAUGUUAAUUUUACUAGCACACUUUUUAACAAGUGUUCCGAAAUGCAAAAUUUACCGGAAUACUCUUUAAAAAGUGCACCGGUUCGUUUCGUUUAUCGUUAUACAUACCAGAACACUUUGUCAAAGUGUUCCGGUAGUUUAAAGUGUUCUGGUAUGCUAAUAAGUGUACCGGUAUGUAACAACGCAAAAAGUGUUCCGGUAUUUAACAAGUGUAUCGGUAUGUUAAUAUCAAUAAUUUUAAUUUUAAUUUGUUGUUAUAUUUUUAAACAGAUAUGACUUAUCUCGGCGUUACAAGUCAAAUAUUGGUAGAUACUACAUAUGUUUUUACAACUGAUCAAAAAUUUGCUACACUAGAUGUUGGAGAUGCCAACAAAGUCGGUAUUAUCAUUACUCGGUCGGAUAAAAAGAACGGAAUAAGAGGAAGAAAUUACAAGUUAAUUUUGGGUUGUGACAAAGGUGGAAAGUAUGACUCUUCAGAAAGUUCCAUGACAACUGCAUCUAAAAAGUGUUACUGUCCAUUCAAAAUUAGAGUCGCACCUUCAACAGAUGGUUCAGGAUGGAAAGUUCAGGUUAUUCAUGGAGUUCACAACCAGGGCUACCUGACCAAUAUCAUGGUCAUCCUCGCAAGGCACGUUUAACCGCUGAUGAAAACAAACUUGUUGAAGAUUUGAAAAAGCGUCAUGUAGCACUAAGGCACAUCGUUUUAGAUUUGAAAGAUCAAAAUUCAGAGUCUGUUGUUGAUGCCAAGCAUGUAUAUAGGAAAAGACACAUGAUGCAAAAAUAGGAAAGAUGCUCCAGAACAGGGUUGCAACACUUGCUGCAGAUGAUGCAAAAUAUGUCAGCUAGAAUAGAAGAAAAGAUGAUGGCUCCGAUGUUUUGAGUGAUAUUUUUUGGGCGCAUCCAAAUUCAAUCAAGUUGUUGAACUUGUUUCCCAUUGUUUUGGUUAUGGACUGCACAUACAAAACUAAUAAAUAUAGACAGCCACUGCUUGAAAUUACUAGCAUAACGUCAACUAACAUGACAUUUGCUGAGAAGACGAACAAUUAUCAUUGGGCGUUAGGGAAGCUGGAAUUGCUUACUAAGCAAGAUAUAUAUUUCCUAAACUAAUUUUGACCGAUAGGGAGUUUGCUUUGAUGAAUGCAAUUAAAGUUAUAUUUCCACAUACUGUUAAUAUGCUUUGUACGUGGCACAUAAUCAAAAAUGUGAAUACGAGAUGCACCCUGCAUAUACCUAAGGAUAUGCGACAAAAGGUGAAAAAUUUGUGGAAAAAUGUUGUUGAAAGUCCAUAUGAGGUGGAGUAUUAGCAGCGGUUGAAUGCGUUUCAGCAAGCAUAUGUUAAUUCAAGCAAGUUUGUUGACUAUGUCAAUAACACCUGGUUGACCCCUCACAAAGAACAAUUUGUUGCAGCAUGGACCAAUCAAGUGAUGCAUUUAGGAAACACAACGACUAAUAGGUAUGAUUUUGUCUUUUUCAAAAUUGUAAUUAUAUUUUUAUUUUAUUUUUGCGUUUAAUUUACUGUUGUUUGCAAUUUGAUAUUUUGAGCUGAGUCUGCAAUUAGAAACUGAAGCAAAUGUUGGAACACAGCAAAGGCGAUUUAUGCAAGUGUUUGGAAGCCAUGAAUAACAACAUAAUACUAGAAGUUGACAAAAUUAAAGUGUCAUUUCAAAAAUGUUUUUACUAUGCAAAGAAGACACACAACAAUCUAUUUUUUCAAAAUUUGAGAAACUUUGUCUCCAGGACCGCUAUGACAUUAAUUUCUGAUGAGAUGAAGAGAAUUGGCAUUGUUGGAACAAAUAAAAACUUUUGUGGUUGCAAACUUAGGUCAACAAGUGAGUUGCCUUGUACUUGUGAAUUGGGUGGGUAUACAACCAGCGGUGUAUCGAUACCAUUAGAUUCAGUUCACAGUUACUGGAAGAAAUUGACUAUGGAAGAACCACUAGAGAAUGACACGGAGCAUGAAUAUGAGUUGGACAUGAGUCAUGCAAUGGAGGCAAUAUGGACUCAAUAAGUGGCGUAGAGCGGUGGCGACAAAGGACAGAAGCAGCGGUGAAUAAGUGGACGGUGGAAAAUCAUGGGAUGAGUGGUGGUCGCUGGUGGAUUGGAUUUUUUUUUAUUGCAACAGUGAGGAAGAAAUAUGGUACAAACAAAUUUACGAUAAGCUCACUUUCCCACCAUGGGAGACCUACUAAUAGUGUCCCAUCCUAGAAGGCGCCGUCAAAGGGACAAUAUUAUGAUUUUUCUCCCUACACUAACGACAAUAACUCUCAUCAUUAAUUAGGAGUUGUCAACUUGUCAUGAGUGUUGUUUGGUAUGGAUUGAGUGCUACCAUUUUUUUAAAGGAGAAUGUUAACAUAUGCCCUAAAGAUACAUGUUAAGAAGAUAAAUAUGGUAAAUAUUAANNNNNNNNNNNNNNNNNNNNNNNNNNNNNNNNNNNNNNNNNNNNNNNNNNNNNNNNNNNNNNNNNNNNNNNNNNNNNNNNNNNNNNNNNNNNNNNNNNNNNNNNNNNNNNNNNNNNNNNNNNNNNNNNNNNNNNNNNNNNNNNNNNNNNNNNNNNNNNNNNNNNNNNNNNNNNNNNNNNNNNNNNNNNNNNNNNNNNNNNNNNNNNNNNNNNNNNNNNNNNNNNNNNNNNNNNNNNNNNNNNNNNNNNNNNNNNNNNNNNNNNNNNNNNNNNNNNNNNNNNNNNNNNNNNNNNNNNNNNNNNNNNNNNNNNNNNNNNNNNNNNNNNNNNNNNNNNNNNNNNNNNNNNNNNNNNNNNNNNNNNNNNNNNNNNNNNNNNNNNNNNNNNNNNNNNNNNNNNNNNNNNNNNNNNNNNNNNNNNNNNNNNNNNNNNNNNNNNNNNNNNNNNNNNNNNNNNNNNNNNNNNNNNNNNNNNNNNNNNNNNNNNNNNNNNNNNNNNNNNNNNNNNNNNNNNNNNNNNNNNNNNNNNNNNNCACCUCCCUUUUUGCUUCCUGAUCCGAUCCAAUUCUUUAUUAGCAUUUAUUUUGUAACUUAUAAAUUAUUUGGUAGUUUCCGGACAUUUCUGAAAUACAUAAAAAUAAUAGUAAUAAUACUACGAAAAAUGUAAAGAAAUAGUAGAAUACUAACCUAAUUUUAUUAAAUAAAUAGUACAUUUUUCGGUGUUAUCAAAAAUCAUGGAAUGAGUGGUGAAAGAAAUAUGGUACAAAAAAAUUUACGAUAAGCUCACUUUCCCACCAUGGGAGACCUACUAUAGUGUCCCAUCCUAGAAGGCCCCGUCAAAGGGACAAUAUUAUGAUUUUUCUCCCUACACUAAAGACAAUAUAUAUUUUGAUUAUUGUCUCAUCAUUAAUUAGGAGUUGUCAUGAGUGUUGUUUGGUACGGAUUGAGUGCUACCAUUAUUUUUUUAAAGGAGAAUGUUAACAUAUGCUCUAAAGAUACAUGUUAAGAAGAUAAAUAUGAUAAAUAUUAAAUGUUAACUUGUGAAUUCAAGAAAUACUUGACAUGGUCACCUUAUACAUGAAUUUCUUAAUACAAUUUGCAUGAAGUUUUAACUAUUAAACACAAUUUCAAUUAUGGGAGAAACUAACCCAAUGAUGUUACCAGUUGCAAUUGCAUAUACUACAUUGAAGGUAUAAUUCGCUAAUAAUGAUAUCCAACGACUCUUUUUAUUCUUAACAGGAUAACCAACAACAGUACCGGUUUGUGCAUCAUUUUCCUCCGUUAUCAUCUUCAAAAUAAUCGGAUCAAAUACACUUGAAAGAAUGCUUCGAAAAUGCUCAAAAUCAUGUUUUUCGGCAGUAUCAUUAACAUCAAGCCACAAUAAAACCAAAUCAAUUUUUUUAUUGAUCUCUUUCUUGUCUUUAGAAGAAAGAUUUGAUCCAAUCUCCUUAUCAUUUAUAACUUUCCUCAUAUUGGAUGCAUAAGUCUCCAAUGCAUUUCUUGCGUCUACCUUCUUCUGAUACCUCUUUUCGUCAUCUUUGCACUUCUCAGCUUCUUUGAUCAUCCUCUCAAUUUCCUCCUUUGAAAGUCUUCCAUUGUCACUUAUUAUUUUAACCUUCAUGUUAACCCCGGACAAUUUUUCCAAGGCAGAGACGUGUAAGAUGCCAUCAUCAUCAAUUUGGAAGCUGACCUUGAUUUGAGGAAGACCUACCGGAGCUGGAGGAAUUUCCAACACAAAUUUUCCUAGCAAGUUGUUGUCUCUAGUUGUUUGUCUCACACCCUCAUAAACAUGAAUUAGAAUAUUGGUUUGGUUGUUAAAAUGAGUCGUGAAGACGUGCUCCAUGUUCGUAGGAAUUUUGGUAUUCCUAGGAAUUAUUAUUUCCAUGAUUCCCCCGUGAGUAUCCAAUCCAAGAGACAAAGGAAUAACUUCCCUGAAUAGCAAAUCUUGCACCUUUUCACUAAACUCACCACUCAAUAUCGAAGCUUGGACCACAGCACCAUGUGCAACUGCCUCAUCUGCAUUUAUGCUUUUGCAUAAAUUUUUCCCUUCAAAGAAGUCACUCAAUAGUUGUUGCACUUUUACAAUCCUAGUAGAGCCACCAACAAGGACAACAUCAUGAAUGCUACUCUUCUCCAUCCUACUCUCUGCGAAACAUUUUUCUACAAUCUCCAUGCACUUGUCGAAAUGACAUUCGUUGAGUUCCUCAAACUUUGCGCGACUAAUUGUUGAGUGGAAGUUUAUAUCUUUAUGUAAAUAUUCUAUGUCAAUGGUGGUGUUGGUAUUGGAAGAAAGUAUCCUCUUUGCUUUCUCACAAGCAGACUUUAACUUCCUCACGGCUCGUGGGUCUCCACUAAUGUCAAUUUUAUGCUUCCUCAAGAAUUCCUUCACAAAAUGUUUCACCAUUGUAUUAUCAAAGUCUUGUCCCCCGAGGUGAGUAUCUCCACCAAUGGCCUUAACUUGGAUAUCAUCCGUGUCAAAUGUGAGAAUAGACACAUCCAAUGUACCACCACCUAAAUCAAAAACGAAAACAUUUCUAUAUUGAUGAUUAAAUUUAAACGGUUUCAUGUUAAGGCCAUAUGCAAUUGCUGCUGCAGUAGGCUCAUUGAUUAUUUGCUUAACAUUCAUGCCUGCAAUUUCACCUGCAUCUCUAGUAGCUUGACGUUGUGAGUUAUCAAAAUAAGCAGGAACUGUUAUAACAACAUCCUUCACUUUUGAUCCAAGGUAAGCUUCUGCAAUCUCACGCAUUUUUCUCAAUACCAUGGAUGAGAUUUCCUCAGCAGCAAAUUGUUUUUCUUCUCCGUUGUAAUUGACAACAAUCAUGGGUUUGUCAUCGAGACGGCCAAUUACUUUAAAUGGCCACAAUUUCAUAUCAUUUUGAACUAUAGGGUCACUAAACCUCCUACCAAUUAGCCUCUUAGCAUCUACAAAACAAACAGGAGUAGUGUGCACUGUAUGAAACAUCCGAUCGAUGAUCAUCAUAUAUACUCCCUCCGGUCCUUUUUAUAAGGAACACUUAGGACAAAAAAAUUGGUCAUUUUUAUAAGAAACUUUGACCAAUUUUCAAAUGUUUUAAAUGUUUAAUUUCACUUAUGCCCUUAUUUAUUAUGAGAGAGAAUUUAAAAAUAAGUAAGUUAGUUGAAUAAAGAGUAAUUAAAUAAGGGUAUACAUGGAAUAAAUUUAAAUUUAUAAGAGUAUUAAAUGAAAAUAACUAUGUUAAAUGUGCUUCAUUGGUCUGUGUGAUUUUUUUAAAGUGUUCUUUAUAAAAAGGACCGGAGGGAGUAUAUAUAAAUAAGCGAUAACUCUAAUUAAUUAUAUUGGGAUUUUGAUUAUUAAUCAAUUAUUUGCACAAUAGAUCCUUUGUAACAAAUAACGUAAUCAAUAUUAAUUACACACAUAUGAUUUAACACAAGUUCAAUUUAAUUUGGUUUCUCUUUUUCCGCAUUCUCUCUAUUUAUGACUUUUGAUUCGUUAACAUCAUAUGUCAAACUUUUUGGUCACUAUUUGUAGGAGACAAAUUAAAUCAAUCCAACCGUUAAAUUUAAAUUUUCCGUUAGGUAGAACAAGUGACUCAUAAAAAAUUGGGUAAAUGAUUGUUUAUCCCUCGUAAAGUUAGCAAAAUUUGAUUUACCCUCUGUGCAAUUUUUUUUCUGGUUAUCCCUGCAAUAUGAAGAUUUUAUAAUUUUGCCCCUGCCCCCUCAUUAAAUAGAAAAAAAAUUGUGCGGGGUAAAUCAAAUUUGGCUAACUUUUCGGAGUAAACAACCAUACCCUAAAAAAUUUAUAGAAUUUAAAAGCUAUUUAAAUGAAAAAUGCUAAGAAAUAUAGUAAUAUUUACCGAAGACAGUGUUGGUUGGGUUGUAAGCAGCCUUGUUGAAAGCAGGAUCACCAAUCAUCCUUUGAGAGUCGGUGAAGGCAACAUAAGAAGGUGUUAUUCUGUUCCCUUGCUCGUUAACUAUGAUCUCUAACUGAUCAUUCCUCCACACAGCAACACAAGAAUAUGUUGUUCCUAGGUCGAUUCCUAUUGCAACUUUCUUACUUGUUCCUGCCAUUUUAAAUGUCUUGUAAUUUUGAGAGAAGGAAAAGAAAUACUAAAGAUGAGAAUAAACAGUUAUUAUUUAGGUAAGUAUAUAUAGGCUUGUUGUUAUAUGCACUUCCACUCAAUUUAUUAAGUUCGUGAUUGGCUGCUUGACUUGUACAAUUAUCUUUCUUUUUUGACAAUCGUACAAAUAUUAUCAUUUUCAAUAUUGGAACAAUUGAUCAACUUGUUAA